This 347-nucleotide RNase P RNA is filed under the name Clostridia bacterium. RNAcentral describes it as "RNase P RNA component class A". It matches the Rfam family "Bacterial RNase P class A". Rfam says of the family: Ribonuclease P (RNase P) is a ubiquitous endoribonuclease, found in archaea, bacteria and eukarya as well as chloroplasts and mitochondria. Its best characterised activity is the generation of mature 5'-ends of tRNAs by cleaving the 5'-leader elements of precursor-tRNAs. The record is from RNAcentral. Lineage: Bacteria; Bacillati; Bacillota; Clostridia.
CAAGACGGUUAUACGGUCGCGGGGCGCUAUAUGCGUCAUGAGGAAAGUCCGAGCAUCGCAGGGCAGGACGCCUGCUAACGGCAGGUGAAGGCGACUUUAAGGAAAGUGCAACAGAAAUAAACCGCCGCAAUUUUUUGCGGUAAGGAUGGAAAGGCGAGGUAAGAGCUCACCGUCGGAAUGGUAACAUUCCGAGCCAUGUAAACCCCGUCCGAUGCAAGAUUGGGAUAUCUUCACGUAGGGUUGCCCGCCCGAGGGUAUCCGUGAAUAUCGCUUGAGCCCGUCGGCGACGGCGGGUCUAGAUAGAUGACCGUACACGACAGAACUCGGCUUACAGACCGUCUUGAAUU